UACGGAGGAUCCAAGCGUUAUCCGGAAUCAUUGGGUUUAAAGGGUCCGUAGGCGGUUUAAUAAGUCAGUGGUGAAAGCCCAUCGCUCAACGGUGGAACGGCCAUUGAUACUGUUAAAACUUGAAUUAUUAGGAAGUAACUAGAAUAUGUAGUGUAGCGGUGAAAUGCUUAGAGAUUACAUGGAAUACCAAUUGCGAAGGCAGGUUACUACUAAUGGAUUGACGCUGAUGGACGAAAGCGUGGGUAGCGAACAGG
This 254-nucleotide ribosomal RNA is filed under the name uncultured bacterium. RNAcentral describes it as "partial 16S ribosomal RNA". It matches the Rfam family "Bacterial small subunit ribosomal RNA", at positions 524 to 776 of the family's 1533-position model. The record is from RNAcentral.